Small nuclear RNA from Megalopta genalis, 193 nucleotides. RefSeq annotates it as U2 spliceosomal RNA. NCBI's taxonomy places the organism in Eukaryota, Metazoa, Arthropoda, Insecta, Hymenoptera, Halictidae. The record is from RefSeq and is a predicted model, not a curated record.
AUCGCUUCUCGGCCUUAUGGCUAAGAUCAAAGUGUAGUAUCUGUUCUUAUCAGCUUAAUAUCUGAUACACUCCUCAUCGAGGAGUCAGAAUAUUAACCUGAUUUUUGGAAACCGACGGAGUGGUCGGGGCUCGCUCCCCCUCUGUCACGGGUCGGCCUGGCAUUGCAGUGCCGCUAGGAAUGGCCCAUUAGUU